Molecule: RNA transcript, 10339 nt
Organism: Formica exsecta
Lineage: Eukaryota; Metazoa; Arthropoda; Insecta; Hymenoptera; Formicidae
Gene name: protein dopey-1 homolog
Exons: 27
Source: RefSeq, a predicted model, not a curated record
AUAUACAUAUAUUCCUAUAUCGAAUCUAAAAGAUGUAUUUGUUAAGUGAGAGCGCUCGUUCGAUGAUUGCACAAUUUAUUAAAUUUCCCGAAUGCAACCAUUAUGCACGCGCGCGGUGACAUAUACGCCACGCAGCACGCAGUGCGCGUAAAAUUCUAUGUCGUCAUCGCAUUAUCGCAACCGUCCGACAAUUCACAUUAUCGAGCGGAUAAAGAAGGAGAUAUUAACGGAAAAGGGAAAAUUUCGUGGUUCAUUGCUUGAUCCCGUCGAAAAAUUUAUUCCGAUCGAAGAUAUAGUACAUAUUAUUGUGGUGAUCAGUGUGUGCGUGUGUAUAUGUGACAAGCGUGGAUUCACGUAUUUGCUGAGUGCUUUUAAUUGACGAACAUGCAUCGAUGCUCCGAUGGUCAUCUUUGCCAUCUCCAUCGAUGGCAUAUGUACGAAAUGUCAAUAUUUGGAGGUAUUGAAGUGUCUCCUUAUCUAAAUACGAUGUGUUGUAUGAUAAGAUCUGUGGUAUAAGCAGGAGGAACUUUGCAAUGAUUCACUUUAAGAAAUAUAAUUGGAAUUAUGUAGAGUGAUGCCAAGAGAUAAUAUUACACAGCUUACUUAGUCGUAAAGUGUAUUAUAAAAAAAACAGCAAUGGGUUCCAUUGCUCUAGAGGAGUACGAGUUAAUGAAGGACUCGAAGUAUCGAGUCUAUGUGAAUGCUGUUGAUAAGGCUCUAAAAAGCUUUGAAUAUACGAGCGAAUGGGCAGAUCUAAUUUCUGCAUUAGGAAAGCUUAACAAAGUGCUGCUAAGUCAUAUGAAGUUUCCUGUUAUUCCAAGGAGAAUUAAAAUAUCAAAAAGAUUAGCCCAAUGCAUGCAUCCAGCAUUACCAUCUGGUGUUCAUUUGAAAGCUUUAGAAACGUAUGACAUUAUUUUUAAGUGUAUGGGCACUAAUAGACUCAGCCAUGAGCUAUUUAUCUAUAGCGCAGGACUGUUUCCAUUAUUGGGUCAUGCUGCUAUGAAUGUCAGACCGUCAUUAUUAACAGUAUAUGAGACACACUUUGUGCCACUUGGCGAAAGGUUGAGACCAGGAUUAAGCGGUUUUUUAAGCGGUGUCCUUUUAGGUUUAGAAGAUGGAUCUGAUCAUUUUGACAGAACAAAUUCCUUACUGGAGAAAGUAUGCGAUGGCGUGGGUGCAGAACACUUUUAUGCGUGUCUCUGGGAUUGUUUAGCUUCAAAUUCUGGCAUUCGCUUGCCCGCUAUAUCAUUUGUGCUCGCACACUUCAAUAAAAAACUGACAAUGGAGGAGCAAAAAUACAUUAUGGGUACUAAUAUUAAAAUUAUGGUAUCAGCUUUAUGCGCAGGAGUACAAGACACUUCAGUGCUAGUACAAAGAAGUGCACUGGAUUUUCUAUUAAUAGGUUUUCCUAUACAUAACAGUCAAUUGACACAUCAAGAUAUGAUAUUAUUAAUCAAAGCUGCUCUAGUUACUAUAUUGCGAAGAGACAUGAGCUUAAAUAGACGUUUGUUUGCUUGGUUAUUGGGCACUGAAGUAAGUACAUCAAUUUUAAAGAAGAAUCACAUAACUGUGAACACUAAGGAGCAUUCUGUAACAUAUUUUGAUAUAUAUUCGAAAAAAAUGCUAGUCGAAGCAAUAAAAUAUCUGCUUAAAGAAGUGUGUGAAGAAAAUUCACAGGAUUUAAAGCCAUAUAGAAUACUUAUCUCAUUACUUGAUAAGGUGGAUAUUGGACCAGUAAUUUUGGACGAUAUUCUAUUUGAAGUGUUUAGGACAUUUUAUAAUGCCUGUAAACAAUCUGCACUGAAUCAUAUACCAAAAACAAAUGAAGUAGUGAAAUCUGCGAAUCUGUUAUUUUCAACUUUGGAACCAUCCUACAUCUGGAUACAUUGUGGACAUCUAUUUGAGAAGGCCUGUAAUAAAAGAGCAAAAACACAAGUUACCAUAGAAGAUGUUAUGCCGAAUUUAGUGGAAGUAUGCAUACUAACAGAAUUCUUACUCGAAACAGUAUCAUUGGACGCAUUUAUAGACACUCCAUCUGAGCAUCUUCCUGGUUUGUUUUAUGAAAUAAUUAGCAAGCUUUUAUAUCAUAUCAAUAUUUUGUCUUCGAUGGAGAUCUCGAAAAGUCUCAAAUUGUGCGCCAAGAUUUUGUCGAAGGUACAACCGACAAUGGUAACGACUCACGCGGACAAGUAUGAAAUAGAUACCAAAGUAGACGCUUCUUUGAAUAACAUUACAGUUCCUAGCGAUAAUUCCCUAACGGCGAUUCCUUUGGAAAAAAGUCAGUCGGAUAGUAAGUUGAAUAAGGCCGAUAUAUCCGGUACCUCUUUCGCGGAGAAAAGUCCGAGUACGAGAAGAAGAGCUAAUUCCGGCGGCGCCGCUAAGAGGAGCGAGAAAAAAUCAAAGAAGAAGGGGAGUAAAAGCACUUCCAAGUUAACCGACACGUACACCAUACAAGCCGAUGGUACCAACAUAUCGGUCGUAGUGAACGAGGACGCCAAAUCUUUACCUAGGAAUAAAAGCAUGGACGAUAUUAAAGCGAGCUGCGUCGAAACCGAUGCAAUAAGCUCUUCCUCGAAUAAUAAACUGUCCACCACGUCAAAAUACAUGACGAAUGUCAGUCCAAUGGGAUCGACGGGAUCCUUAUGUAGGGGACCAUCUCCGGCAUUUCAGGCACAGCACUCCAUGUUAGAAAAGUGCCUUCGUCAAUAUGAAAUAUUUUACGUCAAAUUAAUUAGCAACCGAAUACUUAGCAAGGAAAGAACAGUGCAAGAUAUGUUCAAUCAUUUGGUGGUGUCUUGCCCAAGAAAGAGUUUCGACGAGAGAAUGCGUUGUUUGGAACUUCUGCUGAAUUCCAGAUUAAAUAUGGAGGACUCUGGAUUCUUUAGUCAAGAUGUAUCCGUAACAGAGGAUACCAAGUGCCUGGAUAUUUUUCACCUAUUUCUCGAUAUCGUAGCGCAUUCGGAAUGGAACGAGGCCAUGAAAAUAGCGUCCAGCUUGUUUGUGGAAUUAUCCACAUUUCCAAAAUAUUUCUUGACCGGCGACGAUGUACUCGUGGAAGAAGAACCCAAAUUUGAGCACGUUCUUCCGGAUUGGUUAAAAGUUUUAAUAGUCUGUUCCUGCUGGUUACAGAAGCAACCGGCGUUACAAUUAACGAGCAUCGCUACAUUAUUGGACUUAGUGGCAUUAUUGAAAGCACAUAACGACGUCGAGAUACAUCCGAAAAGCGGAGAAGGCGUAACGACGGUGAUUAUGGUGCCGUUGUUGAAACAAUGGCACAUUACCUACUUGAUGCAAUACACUAAUGUAUUUCAGGUAUUGGCACAUUCCUUGUGGCAUCAUUUGGGCGAGCUUCCCGCUCAUAAGUUUAGGAUGCGUUGCGUAGAACUGUUGCACGAAUUGCAUCACGCUUUAUACAAUUCCUGCGACGCAGUCGAGGAUUUAAUAGGAUCUGCUCUCACCUCCGAGAAUCCUGAAAGAAAGAUCGAAGCAUUCAGUAGAUUUGCUACUUUGUGGCAUUUAGGACGAGAAAUCGAGACGAAUCCAAGGUUACGCGGCUGUCUCAGAAUUUUUGACCAAUCUUUAUUAAAAAUGUUGGACAAUCUUCAACUUGCGGACAACUCGCCGUUAAAACUAUUAGCUCAAUCGUGGCUACUACAUUCCUUGAUGCGCGGCGAUAUAUCGCGUGUAAUAGAUCCCUUACUGACAAUACUUUUAGAUCCAUCCACAUGCCGUAUGAGCGUCCUCCACGUUAGUAUACAACACAGUAAUACCGUCCUAACGAAAAACGAUCCGGUGGAGGAAAAAUCAGAGGUUCAAGAUGACACAGAAGGCGCCGCGAAAAUUUAUGCGAUUAGUUCGGUCGACGGCAAUGUGAUAUAUCACGUGAGCGAUAACGUGGACGAGGAUAAAAAGUGGAAGAAAGGCAAGAAAAAAAAACAGAUGAUAAAUCCCGUGAAAAUAAAACGGAUUUUUGCCGUAACGACGUUAGCGACUGGUGAUAAUUGCAAUCACUAUGUUACGGAAAGAAAUCAAUUUAUGAAAGAACUCGAAGUGCCGCCUAGCAUAUCUGGCAAUCGAAAGAUUUCCGUGUUUGUGAAUCCUCUCUCGAUCAAUUGUAAUGAAAACUCAAACGAUUCCUUGACAGAAGACGAUUCGCUGCCCAGUAUACGCAAAACAAACUUGACAACGGAAUUGCUUAAGAAUGCCACCCGCUUCAAAAAGAUUGAUUUUGAUAAAGGUUCCACUGCCAGUUUAGACGAAAGUCUUUUCGAAUCGGCAAACUCUAGUUUGAAGGUGAAGGAUAAGAGUAGCUUCAAAAAACUAAACGACGACGUCGACUCAUCUCUAGAUUCUAUAACAAAUAGCUUGGACUCGAGCAGUCCCGAAGUAACUAAUAAACAAUCCAAACAGAAAAAAGAACCUGUCGUGAUGCCGGGCAGUUCCAGGGAAAUAGCGGGCACUAUCAUAAAAGGCAGAUAUUACAGUACGAACGAAUUUAACACGAAUUAUGAUCAUGAAAUCGGUAGUUUCGAAGCGAGCGCGGAGGUGCCCAGUUGGACGAUGGACGACGACGACGGUGAUCUGGACGUCAGCACCACCGCGGAAGAAUAUUUUAGCAAUUCCAGCGCCAGUAUAGUCGAAGAGAUUUUAAAUGAAGUGCUCGAUCGCGCAAUGCAAUUAUGCGAUAUCGCCGAACCGCCGAAAAAUGAGGAAGUUCCGCAGCACCCCGCAAAAAUUAAUCGAAAUGUCGGUCUGGGUGUUCACAAUCUUCACUCCCACAUGUUGCUCUACUGCGGAGUAUAUGAUUCGGUCAGAACCCUUUACGUUUUGCGCACCCUCAGGAACGAACUUUUGACAAAUACGCGAAUGUUUCUGUGUUGCGCGGCGACGACCGGUGCGGCGAAUGCGACGAAGAAUACAGUGCUAUUAAAUCUAUUGGCGAGGCAUCGGAAAAGUGUUUUCGGCAGAAAUUUUCACGGUGAUAUAGCUAACACGGAAUUUAUAGCAGCUUAUAGGAGUAGUAUGUAUCUCGAGGUCCUGAUAAGCGUGUGUCUGUACUUUGCAAGAAGCUAUUAUCCAAAUCUCGGACAGAUGAGGCUUACAUAUGAAGAAAUUGCGGGUAACCGUCAGGUACAACUUGCAAGUGCAGAAUUAUUAACGCUAAUAUUUUCCGAGUUAAUUCCAAUUGUUCGCGAUUCUGGGAAAGGUUUCAGUUGCUACAUAGUCGACCUGCUGACUAAAUGUAAAGUACAAAAGGUUGCUCUACACUGUCUCGUAUCCAGUGUUAUGAGUAUGAAGAACGCUCAUAAGGAAAAUGAAGACGUUUUCACAUUUACCGAAGAAAUCGUAUUGUUUAACGAUCCGUUUAUCGAUAACGAUGUUAACAAAUGUAAAUAUAGAGCGAGCGAUCAUACGGAAGCUUUCCAGAUACAAUUAUUACGAUUACUGUUAGCGUUAAUUAUGUUGGAGCAUCAGUGUAGUAGUCAGAAGGGAGAGGAGAUUAAUCCAACGACAUCAUCUAUGCCAAGUUCACCGACACGGACUCUGCCGAGUUUAAUCGGAAACAGUUUGAAAUAUAUUUCUGGGGCAGCGAUACCGCAGCAACCAAUGUUUCUCGCUAGUAUCCUUAGUGCACUGCAACUCAAUCAUAUGAGGCAUCUUCAUCAACAUUGGACAACUCUUGUUACAUCCAGUCUUCCUUUUAUGGGAGCAUCUUUAACAUCUGUUGUAACAUCAGUUAUUCAUCAACUGUGCAGUAAUAUUGAACAUCUAGCGUCGUAUUAUAUCAACGAGGGGACAACAUCAAAGUUACAAGAUAUAAGCACGGUAGAAUGCUGUUUGCCUGCGGAUUACACAGUGACACAUCUUGAGGCUUUGACAUACUUGCUGCAUUAUUGUCUAUUAGAUACCUCUCAACAAAUUGGAUUCUCGUUUAAUCAGCCGCUAAGCGGUACAAUACAAACGGGAAUUCCUGGUGCUAAUCCCGGACAAAUUUUCAACAAUCUUAUACACGUUUUUAUGCCGAGUCCACUUUCUCCGGAUCUAUCCACAACAAAGGAUAAAACUGGCGCAACUGAACUGCAACAACAUGCUAGAAGAACAGCAUUAAGUCAUUUACCGAGAAUAAUAGCAUCUUUAUCUGCCUUGUGGCAAGCAGUUCUAGCAACAAAAGACAACGAACAAGCCAGUUGCGUGGUGGGCAGUCCGAGAAUAGUCAAAUAUCAGUUGUUGGAACUCUUAUCCCCAAUCUCUUUCCAUCAUGGAGCCAACUUUCUAGCUGCAGUCGCGGUUGCUUGGCACGAAAGACGUCAACCGUCCGCCGCGUCUAAGAAGAUACUUCCAGAAGCCUGUCCCAAUCAACAAGUAAUGGUUCAUUUGGUUAGCGCUAUUCGCGUUAUGCCGAUUGACACUUUGGUACACACUGUGCAUCAGGUAGUGAAAACACCACCGCCGAUACACGGGAUCAAACAGGAUUUCUCACUAGAAGUCUCAGUACUGGAAUUACUUUAUAUAUAUAUGCAGAGUAACACGUCGCAGUCGCUUAUCGAGUCUUGGGCGUCCUUGCUCAGUUUAUUGAAAGAUGGUUUAUCGCUAACAGCACCUGCUCAAUUUCUUUUGCUGGCUAUACUAAAUGAAUAUGUACAAAAGUGUCCGCCUAUGCAAGAAAAGAAAGAUAUCAAAGACUUGCAAGAUGUAUCAGCCAAGUUGAUAGAAUCGUGUUCGCAAAUAGCUGGCGCAUGUCUAGAACAAACAACAUGGCUAAGAAGAAAUUUGGCUGUUCGAGAAGAUGUGUUCGAAGUAGUGGAAGGCUCUUCGGAAGGUAAAGAGGGAAAAAAUGGUGCUGUAACACCUGGAACUCCACCUAAUGCGGCAUACAGUGUUCAAGCGCAGGCAGUAUUAGCGGAAAUACUUGCGCCAUUGUUGGAUGUCAGUUACGGUUCGCUAGAAAAAGAGCGCGUGGUAACGCUGCUAACAAAUCUCAUGUAUAAUGUCACACCUUAUCUGAAAAAUCAUACUAUAAAGAAUAUCGCCUCAUUCACUGCAUGUUCUCAAUUAUUGGCUUCUUUGUCGGGUUAUCAAUACACGAGAAAAGCAUGGCGCAAAGACGUUUUAGACCUGUUACUUGAUCCAGCCUUUUUCCAAAUGACACCGUCCUGUCUGCCAUACUGGAGAACUAUAAUAGACAAUCUGAUGACGCAUGAUAAUACUACCUUCAGAGAUUUAAUGAAUCGCGUGUCUAUGGCUCAAGGCAGCGGAAUCAGUAUAUUCUCUUCAAAGGAACAAGAGUAUGAGCAGAAAGCACAACUUUUAAAGCGAUUGGCAUUCGUUAUCCUUUGCAGCGAGAUGGAUCAGUAUCAUAAAUAUAUGCCAGAGAUACAAGAACGUUUAGCAGAUAGUCUACGCCUACCUCAAGUGAUCCCAUCUAUCCAGGCACAAGUAUUUUUAUGUUUUCGCGUAUUACUAUUAAGAAUGUCGCCACAACACGCGACAUCCUUGUGGCCAGUCAUAGUGAGCGAGCUUGUUCAAGUCUUUCUUUAUAUCGAGCAAGAAUUGAGUACGGACAGCGAAGAAUUCAGCAGUCGUCAUAGCAGUUCACAUAUUAAAUUGCUAUCGGCCUUGGACUCAUCGUGGGCUGUUAACGCUAGCAAUGGACUUCAGGCACACGGACAUCCUCACUGGUUGCAACUGCAACUAGCUGCCGCCAAGCUGUUAGACCUCGCGUUACUGUUGCCCGCACACAGAUUACCGCAAUUUCAAAUGUAUAAAUGGGCAUUCGUUGGAGACGCAGCGGCAGGAUGCACGGAUAACAACAAUCUAUCCUCGGACUUUGUACCGCAUAUUACAAGAAUAGCGAAAUUGAUGGAUAAUAAGUUUAAACCAGAAGGAUCACCGCCCAAAAGGAACCCAGGAGAACUUUUACUGACAUCAAAUAACGUUCGCUCUCUGCAAGACUUGCAUCACUUCUUCUCAAGUCUUAGUCGCGCCACAUGCGACACGUACGUGCCGAUAAAUAAUACACAGUUGGAGACUGUAAUCGAGCAAGACUUUCUUGAAAAAAUGCCGACCAUGCCAACGAGAUAGUAGGGAUGCGUAAAGGUACAUAAAUAAUUUGUCAAUCAGGAAGUGUAACAAAUAUAUUGUUAAAAAACUUUAUCCUUUGAUAUAUUUAUAUAAAAAAAAGAAAUAUAAAUAAGAUAUUUCGCAUUCGCGCCGCAUUUAAAAGUAUUCUGUCUAUACGUAAAUACUACAUUGUAUAAACACAAUUAGAAUGCAGAUAUCUAGAAAACACGCCGACUGCUCUUAGCUCUUGCUGUUAAAAUAUAGACGUCCGAUUAAAAUUUGCUUAAAAAAGAAAAGGAGAAAAAGGUUAACCAUAUUUUGGAAAAUGAAGGAAAGAAUUUAUAUAUAUGUCAAAAAUUGUUAAUUCCUUCAUGGACAAAUUGAUUGUAGAUAAAAUAAGAAAUAUCUUUUUUAGUUAGAAAGGGAGAGAGAGAGAAAAGGAACCAGGAAUGAAUCUGAAGCACGUAAUUAAUUUUUUGUUACUUGUUUUUAUCAGUUAAGCUUUUGACUCGUCUCCUCAUUCGGUUGUGAAUAGUUAUCAGCAUGUACAAUAUAGCACGCUGAAUUUGCACAUUGGCCUGUGCUAGUAUAAAAUUAUAUAGAGCGUGUACAGUGUAACAUAUUAUACUUACGGAAUAAGGUCUUCCCACUAUUUUUUGACAUAUACCUGUCAAAUCUUUUUCAAUGAUUUCCAUUUUUCUUUCCUUUUAACUUUGCACAUUACUAUAUUUGAAAGUGAUAAAAAAAUCUAUGUGUGUGUGCAUGUGCGCGUGGAUAUGUCUAGGUUUUUAGAGAGAAAUACACACACACAUAUGGAUGAUUCUCUACAGAUCCUUCAAUAGCAAUCGCUUUGUUAAAACACAAACAAUGAAAGAUGAAUUAUAGGAGAUAAAAAUUUAAGCAAUGUCCUAUUUGCAAUGUGAAGUUUACAGAUUGCGAUAUAGAUUCGCGGAUAUUAAAUAAAAGUAUUAAGUAAAAGUUUGUAAACCACAAGCUGUAGGCCUGCAUUAUCAGGAUCCACUCGCUUUAAUGCAUUUCAGACUAUCGAGGAUAAUUCAUCAUGAAAUUGUUUAUGAAUUUUCACUCCAUCUAAGUUAAUCUUUUAAUAUAAGGCUACCCCGCGUCAUAUAUCGUCAAAUACGCUUUGUUUUAAUGAACAGACUUUCUAGACAAACUGGUAAAUUAUAUACUGCAGUACUACUGCAUCAUCGUCUUAUAUAGCAUGCUUGAGAAAAAUAAGACACUAUAUUUUUAUGACAAACUAGUUUAAUAUACACUAAAAAGAUUUAAUACCAAGAAUAUCUACCCCAAUUUAUAUGAUGUAAGCUUCUUUGCACAGCUAGAAAAUAAUUGAAUUUGAAGUUAAUAUAUAAUAAAAAAUGUAUAGUGUUAAUUUCAACAAAAAUUUUAAAAUUAUACUAGACAUGUUUGCUAAAACAUAUAUUAUUAUUUUUCAUAACUGUAAAUGAUCUUAUAUGUUCUGCUAAUGAUAAUGUCUUUAUUAAAGUAAAUUUUGAAGCUAUAAAGUGAUUUUUCUAUCCUUAUUUAAUUAAUGAGAUCACAAAAAUACGUUUGCAUAUUGGUAGAUAUUCUUUGUCAAUAAAAUUCGUGAUUUAUGAAUCCCAUAUACAAUUGUGAUUUGUUAUAUAUCUAAUAUAGAACGUAACAAAUCACAAUGUGUGGGAAAACAAAAUUGAAAGCUCUUACAAUGGAUUUAUUUUUAUUUUUUUUAAUAUAAAAAUGCAAUAUCUAAAAAAAAUGUUAAAUUGUUUAAUUUUGUCAUUGUAUUUUAUGUUGUUAUUAAUCUGAAAUUAAAUUCAAAAUAAAUAAGUAAUUUCUAAAAGCAAAACAAUUCUUAUCUUUAGCAAUAUUAUUGAAGUUACUGCUUGGCACUAAUAAUAAUUAGUUGUAAAUGACAGAUUUAUUUUACUAGUUUGGCAGAGGCUUGUGCAAAGAUCUAUUGGACAUGAAAAAAUGUUUAUAUAAUCUAGUUAUAUAUUUGUAUACUACACUAUAUAUUUAUUUAAAAAAUCGAUGAUAUGAUUUUUUAAUAUGUUUACUUUAAGUUUUUCUAUAAGUUAAUAAUUUUUUAUGUAUCGUCUAUAGUUUGUGAGUUAGAAUGGUUUAUAAACAUUUGUUAUAGCUAAGAGACAGAGAAAUUAAAGUUUCGUCACAUAUGAAAGCAUUAGACAAAUAUGUAUACUUAUAUGUUGAAAAAUCAUGUAAUUUUAUGUAAUAAAUCUAUAUUCUACAAAUAAAUAAAUUACUGUAAAAUAUA